RNAcentral lists this long non-coding RNA (733 nucleotides) under Meriones unguiculatus (Mongolian gerbil). RNAcentral's name for it is "lncRNA (ENSMUGG00000004884.1)". The record is from RNAcentral. Lineage: Eukaryota; Metazoa; Chordata; Mammalia; Rodentia; Muridae.
AACAAAAGAAGUGUGACUGCCUUCGGGUGGACGAUGGGCUCGGAGGCCCUGCCUGGGGUAGGCGUGAGCCGGGCAGGUGGCCAUAGGUCACAGCGAGAAGACCCGACACGGAAGUGUGCACCAAACAGGCAGUGACAGACACACCCCUUCACGCGUUCCCAGGCCUCCGCCGUCGGCUCUUUGGUGGCUGCAGGCCAGAGUGGUUCCCGGCACCUGGACAGAUUGUGUGACUGGGAGUUUGGCAAGCUGGGAGGUGCUGUGACUCCUCGGCUCCUGGGAACCAGUUCUGUGCUCACAGAGCUGCGUUGCGACGUGACUAAUGGAGGCAAGUUCCACGAUGGACGAAGACAGUCUUGCUGACUUAGGCCAUAGCUUCACGUCCUGGGAACAGAGGACACCCAUAUCUGUCUCUCCUGCGUGGGUGUCGGGAAGCUGCUGGGGUGGAGAUGGGACCAGGAGGCCAGACCAUGCAGGAGGGGACACCAAGUAAGGGCCCUCUUGCAGAGGGAGGACUUCCCGGUGGCCACUGACCCGUCCUUGGGCUGAGCAGGAAGCACCUCCUGAGCACUGCAUCGCUGUUUGCUGUGGGAGUGGGAUUUGUGGGUGAGUAAACAGGCCCGGCCAAGAGGUCAGGAGUAGCGCACCCUCAGAAACUGCACGUGUCACAGGAACGGAGGAGCCAGGAAUGUGUUUUGCACUGAUGUCAACCUGCCCCACUGGACCGCACCUGCUU